Molecule: ribosomal RNA, 254 nt
Filed under: uncultured bacterium
Lineage: Bacteria
Description: partial 16S ribosomal RNA
Rfam family: Bacterial small subunit ribosomal RNA
Source: RNAcentral
UACGGGGGGAGCAAGCGUUGUUCGGAUUUACUGGGCGUAAAGGGCGCGUAGGCGGCCAGCACAAGUCAGUUGUGAAAUCUCCGAGCUUAACUCGGAAAGGUCAACUGAUACUGUGCGGCUAGAGUGCGGAAGGGGCAACUGGAAUUCUUGGUGUAGCGAUGAAAUGCGUAGAUAUCAAGAGGAACACCUGCGGCGAAGGCGGGUUGCUGGGCCGACACUGACGCUGAGGCGCGAAAGCCAGGGGAGCGAACGGG